RNAcentral lists this long non-coding RNA (935 nucleotides) under Gossypium barbadense (sea-island cotton). RNAcentral's name for it is "long non-coding RNA (GBAR_LNC012895)". Lineage: Eukaryota; Viridiplantae; Streptophyta; Magnoliopsida; Malvales; Malvaceae. The record is from RNAcentral.
GGGAGGUCUGAAAGCUGCUGGUUUUUCAUACUUUGACAUAUGUGAGUUCAAUUCUUACCCUUUUCUUUGAGAUUUUUAUGUUUUUGUGACUUUUACAAUUAGGUCCAACUGUUUAAUUCAUUAGUGAACAAAAUUAAAAGCUAUCAUUGAUAAGUGUUAGCUGUUUAUGAUGAAAUAAAAUGAAUUUGAAGCUUUGAUUUUGUUGUUUGAUGAUUUUAUCAAGUAAUUUCAAUAGAAAUUGAUUUUAGGACCUAAUUGUGAAAAAGUUGUGAAUUAAGGUUUAGUGUUAAAAUUCUGAUUUUCAAAGAUUGUGUAAUAGUUUAGAAUGAUGGAAUAAAAUGUUAACUGAGAAAAAUUAGCUUAAUAGAUGGGCUAAUUGAGCAAGGACUGAAUUGUAUGACCUUUGAAAUUUAGAGGAAAAAUGGUAAUAAACAUCUUGAACUAAAACAAUAUUGGACAGCAGAAGUAGACUAAAUUUGAAAAAUCACCAUAAAUUUUAUAAAUCGAAUUAGAAGAUGAAUAAAAUAUGAAAUUAAAGCUUAUUGAGUCUAGUUUUUCAUAGAAGAAACGGUGUAAGCAAUGGAUUUGUAAAUUAUUAGAUAUAAUGAAUUUUAUGAGACAAGGUUAGAAUGAAUUCGGGUUCCCCUGUUUUGACUUUGGAAAAUCACCAAAAAUUGGAUAAAAUUAAUUAGAGUCUCAAAUUUAUAUGCUUAGAAUCCUUAAUGAGUCUAUUUUCAAUAGAAAUCAAUGAUAAUAUUAUCCGAGUUUUUUACUGUGAUAUAAUUAAUUUUUAGUGAAGAGAGGUCAGAACUGUUGGAUAGUGAAACAGGGGAAACUUAAAUGAAUAAACUGUACUAAUUGGCUAAACAAAAAAUACUUAAAAUUUUAUGGUGGAAUUAUAUGUGAGUCUAGUUUUAGGGAAAAUUUACGGAUCU